RNAcentral lists this ribosomal RNA (407 nucleotides) under uncultured bacterium. RNAcentral's name for it is "partial 16S ribosomal RNA". It matches the Rfam family "Bacterial small subunit ribosomal RNA", at positions 30 to 526 of the family's 1533-position model. The record is from RNAcentral.
AUUGAACGCUGGCGGCAGGCCUAACACAUGCAAGUCGAGCGGAGCGGCGGACGGGUGAGUAAUGCCUAGGAAUCUGACUGGUCGUGGGGGAGAACGUCCGGAAACGGGCGCUAAUACCGCAUCCUAUCAGAUGAGCCUAGGUAGGAUUAGCAUGGUGGUGGGGUAACGGCUUACCAAGGCGACGAUCCGUAACUGGUCUGAGUGGAUGAGCAGCCACACUGGAACUGAGACACGGUCCAGACUCCUACGGGAGGCAGCAGUGGGGAAUAUUGGACAAUGGGCGAAAGCCUGAUCCAGCCAUGCCGCGUGUGUGAAGAAGGUCUUCGGAUUGUAAAGCACUUUAAGUUGGGAGGCGUUACCAACAGAAUAAGCACCGGCUAACUUCGUGUCAGCAGCCGCGGUAAUAC